CAUCCUAAUGCUUGGUGUGUUUACCAAAACACACUGUCCCUAAUGCUUGUAAUAAACACUAGAUAUUCAGAGGUAAUAAUUUAUUACAUUUAAUUCAGUAGAAUGUGAAAUCAGUAUUGACCACAUCAAGCAUUUUACACAGGUUUCUGUAAUGUCAACCUAGAAUGAAUUCUCAGUUGUAUGUUUUACCUUUUCUGCUGACUGGUUUACAAUGGAUGACUGCAACUGUGUCAUUGAAUAUUGCAUAAAGAACAAAUAAGGUGUAAGGCAGAAACAAAUAUCACCUAAUACUAAUGACUACUGCAAACAUAUUGUACGCAUUACGUUCCUGAGGUAGAGAGAGACUCAACACCACUACAAAAUUAGACGGUUCAAUUGUUAUGAAUAUUGCUAUGACAAUCCAAUUUUAAUUUCAGUUUAGUUACAUGUUUAAUGUUUGUCUGAAAAUACUUUACAUUGAUCCAAGUAUUACACUUUUUAAAAAGUUUACAUUUCAAGACUGUUAUGAGGCACAGACAGUAGCAUCCAGGUCAGGGGUUAGGUAGUGUCAGGGGGUAGGUAGGGUCAGGGGGUAGGCAGGGUCAGGGUGUAGGUAGGGUCAGGGGGUAGGUAGGGUCAGGGGGUAGGUAGGGUCAGGGGUUAGGUAGGGUCAGGGGGUAGGUAGGGUCAGGGGGUAGACAGGAUAAAGAGGGGUAUAUAUCUGUGCAGCAGGCGAGGCCAGUGUCAGGGUGUAGGUAAGGUCAUAGGUGAGGCUCCUUCUUCAUCAGGAGACUCCUGUCCUGGCAGCCUCAAGUCCUGACAGACUCCUGUCCUUCCUGGCAGACCGCUGUCCUUCCUGGCAGACCUCUGUCCUUCCUGACAGACCGCUGUCCUUCCUGGCAGACCGCUGUCCUUCCUGGCAGACUGCUGUCCUUCCUGGCAGACUGCUGUCCUUCCUGGCAGACUGCUGUCCUUCCUGGCAGACUGCUGUCCUUCCUGGCAGACUCCCUCCCAUUCACCCCCCAGACACCUUUCUGUUUCUACUGUUCCCAAAGAAAAUGUUCUUCCCAUUGUUGUUGUUCCCAAUUUUGAAAAGAUUUGGUUUCAGAUCCUCAAAAAAAUGUAUCCAGCUGCAUCAUUGAGAGCAUCUUGACUGACUGCAUCACUGCUUGGUACGGUAAGUGCAUCACUGUCGACCGCAUGGCGCUACAGAUGGUGGUGCGGACAGCCCAGUACAGCACUGGGGUCGAGUUCCUUUCCAUUCAGUACCUCCAUAUCAAAACGGUGGGAAAGGAAGACAUGGAAAUAUGUCUAAGACUCAAGCAACUGUUCUCUCUGCUACCGAAUGGCAAGAGGUACCGGAGCACCAAGUCUGAUACCAACAGGCUCCUGAACAGCUUCUACCCCCAAGCCAUCAGACUGCUGAACAGCUUCUACCUCCAAGCCAUCAGACUGCUGAACAGCUUCUACCCCAAAGCCAUCAGACUGCUGAACAGCUUCUACCCCCAAGCCAUCAGACUGCUGAACAGCUUCUAUCCCGAAGCCAUCAGACUGCUGAACAGCUUCUAUCCCCAACCCAUCAGACUGCUAAACAGCUUCUACCCCCAAGUCAUCAGACUGCUGAA
Molecule: long non-coding RNA, 1604 nt
Organism: Oncorhynchus tshawytscha (Chinook salmon)
Lineage: Eukaryota; Metazoa; Chordata; Actinopteri; Salmoniformes; Salmonidae
Source: Ensembl